UCGAACGGAGAUAGUUUACUAUCUUAGUGGCAAACGGGUGAGUAACGCGUAGGAAUCUACCUUUUAGUGGGGGAUAACCAACGGAAACGUUGGCUAAUACCGCAUAUUCUCAGAAAUGAGGAAAGAUUUAUUGCUAAAAGAUGAGCCUGCGUCAGAUUAGAUAGUUGGUGAGGUAAUGGCUCACCAAGUCAACGAUCUGUAGCUGGUCUGAGAGGAUGAUCAGCCACACUGGGAUUGAGAUACGGCCCAGACUCCUACGGGAGGCAGCAGUGGGGAAUAUUGGACAAUGGGGGAAACCCUGAUCCAGCAAUGUCGCGUGAAUGAAGAAGGCCUUUGGGUUGUAAAGUUCUUUUACUUGUGAAGAUGAUGACUGUAGCAAGAGAAUAAGGUCCGGCUAACUUCGUGCCAGCAGCCGCGGUAAUACGAAGGGAUCAAGCGUUGUUCGGAAUGACUGGGCGUAAAGGGUGCGUAGGCGGCUAUUUAAGUAAGAUGUUAAAGAUCUAGGCUCAACCUAGAAAGUGCGUCUUAAACUGGAUAGCUAGAGUAUGAGAGAGGAAAGUGGAAUUCCUAGUGUAGAGGUGAAAUUCGCAGAUAGUAGGAGGAAUACCGGAGGCGAAGGCGGCUUUCUGGAUCAUUACUGACGCUGAGGCACGAAAGCGUGGGGAGCGAAAAGGAUUAGAGACCCUUGUAGUCCACGCCCUAAACGAUGAGUACUAGACGUUGGAUUUUUCCAGUGUCGCAGCUAACGCAUUAAGUACUCCGCCUGAGGAAUACGGUCGCAAGACUAAAACUUAAAGGAAUUGACGGGGACCCGCACAAGCGGUGGAGCAUGUGGUUUAAUUCGAAGAUACGCGAAAAACCUUACCGGCUCUUGACAUAGGGAUUUUAAAUUUAAGAGAUUAGAUUUUUCAGUUCGGCUGGAUCCUAUACAGGUGCUGCAUGGCUAUCGUCAGUUCGUGUCGUGAGAUGUUGGGUUAAGUCCCUAAACGAACGCAACCCUUUUUCUUAGUUGCUACAGGUUAUGCUGAGAACUUUAAGAAGACUGCCGAUGAUUUAAAUCGGAGGAAGGUGAGGAUGACGUUAAGUCCUCAUGGCCCUUAUGGGCCGGGCUACACACGUGCUACAAUGGUAACUACAAAGAGAUGCAAUAGGGUGACCUGGAGCUAAUCUUUAAAGGUUAUCUCAGUUCGGAUUGUUCUCUGCAACUCGAGAACAUGAAGUUGGAAUCGCUAGUAAUCGUAGAUCAGCAUGCUACGGUGAAUACGUUCACGGGUCUUGUACACACCGCCCGU
This 1292-nucleotide ribosomal RNA is filed under the name uncultured bacterium. RNAcentral's name for it is "bacterial SSU rRNA". It matches the Rfam family "Bacterial small subunit ribosomal RNA", at positions 62 to 1397 of the family's 1533-position model. The record is from RNAcentral.